GUGCUCGCUUCAGCAGCACAUAUACCAAAAUUGGAACGAUACAGAGAUUACCACGGCCCCUGCGCAAGGAUGACAUGCAGAAAUAAGCCCUUUAA
Molecule: small nuclear RNA, 95 nt
Filed under: Ochotona princeps (American pika)
Lineage: Eukaryota; Metazoa; Chordata; Mammalia; Lagomorpha; Ochotonidae
Source: RNAcentral